CCACACAUAUUGGGAAGGCCGAUGUGGCCGUGCGGUUAUAGGCGCUUCAGUCUGGAACCGCGUGACUGCUACGGUCGCACGUUGGAAUCCUGCCUCGGGCAUGGAUGUGUGUGAUGUCCUUACGUUAGUUAGGAUUAAGUAGUUCUAAGUUCUAGGGGACUGAUGACCACAGAUGUUAAGUCCCAAAGUGCUCAGAGAGCCACACACAUAACAGGCCGACUAUAAAUUAGUAUAAUAAUUUAUGUUGUAUUACAUUUUCCAAAAAUAGGUAGUUCACUCCACUGGCAAUACUUUAAACAGAAAUUUUCGUUGCUAAGAGCACAUUUUUGAUAUGACUGUCUGUCGUCUCUGUGAAAAUCGCCUCUGUUUUUUUUCUUUCAUAACUAUGUUUAACAAUGAGAAUUCUUGGUCUACCAUCAAAGACACACGUUCAUAAAAAUAGAUACCGGUAGGUGGUAGGGCCAUGGUUUUAUAUACCUUGAAAAAAUAUGUACAUGAUUAUCUAAGUGGGAAUCGUUGAUCAUUUUUAUUAACGUCUUUUGAGAUAUGAGUUUUUAGCCAGAGUGGUAUCCCUUCACCCAUAUAAAUAUGCUAAGCAGGAGUGCAAAGUAGGUAUGUAACACCAUUUAAAUACUAUUGGGAUUUUUAAGUUCCUUGCAACAUAGCAGCAGGCUACAGACAUUGUUUUCUGUUUAACAGUUCUGUGUGUUUCUCCCAUCUUGAAUGUACAUCCAGCCAUACUUCUAAAAAUUUAGUGUUUGGUGUUUGCACCCUGUUACCCUGCCAAACUUCCACUGUUAAGCUGUUUCCUAGCUUUUUUUUACUUGGCUGAAGUUCAUCUCAGUGUUUUUGUCAUUCAUAAUUAGUCUGUCGCAAUGAAAAAUUAUGCUAAACUAUUUAAGCUCUUGUACAAAGCCAUUUUUCAGAAGUAGAAAAAACAUCCAUACUCACCUCUUGCAUCCAGAAACAGUGUCCAUGUCUGUGUGUUCCAUUUCGGAAGAAGUGUAAAUAAUGUUUAGUAUUGUUUUACUCUGUGCACUUUUGCAAGUCAACGCCUCAUAUAGGUGCUGAGUAACGAGCUAUCCUUCCCUUAUUAUUGUUUUCCAUCCUAGACGUUCCAGUGUUUGAUUUUUCUUGUAGGUCAGCACUGUUCAUUCCUUUAACAGGCUGGUGUCAUAGGCAAACAAUAUUGUGUCUGCUGCUCAUGUAUGAUUUGGUUACGUUAUUUAUAAAUAUUAAGAAUAGCAGUGGUCCCAGUACAGAGCCCUGUGGCAUGCCAUACAUGACUCUCUCAUAUAAUGUGCCUAAUGUAUCAGUUAUGUUGUUACUCUACCCUUUUUAUUUCUAUCAUAGAGAUAGGGUUUCAACCAAACACAUGCUACUUCACAACUCCCAUAGCAGUAUGGUUUCCUUGGCAGUAAAUUAUCAUCAGUGAUGUCAAAUGCCUGAGACAUUCAAAAACGGACCACAAUUUAACUCAUUUUUAUCUAUGGAAUUUAGGACACAUUUUAAAAACUUAUAAAUCCUUAUCCCAGUUGAUCUGUUUUUCCUAAUACCUUUUUAUCCAUUAAUCACCUUACAGUUUUUGUUUAGCAAAUGAGUCUCUUCCAUUGGCAUUUCUUUUAUCAUAGUUUUGAAAACCCAGAUCUCAGUGAGCUACAUUUGCAAUUACUAAUAUCAGACUGCACCUUUCUUGUAAAGAGGCUUGACAAUUGAUUUUUUUAGUUUUUUUUGGAACUCCUAUCCCAAAUAUUAACUACAAAUUGGAAGUCUGUUCCUUGCACUGUAUUUUAUUACCUUGUCUAGAAACUAAUCACUGCCACACAAUCAUUUAUAUUUUAAUGUAUUUAUGAUGUUUCAAACCUCUAAUUCAGUUGCAAAAGAUGGAAUUACAGCCUCAUCUUUCAAGGGGAGUCAUAUGCUGAUAUUCAAUUACAUUUAGUUUGAAUUAUAAUUAUUGUUAUGUUUAUGUAAUGGUUGUUGAAUAUGUUGGCUUUUGUGUUGUAGAUCUUUAAGAGUUUCAUCUUCACUCUGUAAUGAAGUAGUAGUUCUUUCUGUUUUGUCUGCAUACAUUCUUUCACAUUUACCAUCUCUUACAUUGAUUUUAUAUUCUUAAUAUUUUCCUAGCUGCUACUAUAACUUUCUUAUGUAGUUCCCUGUAAAUUUUCACAUGUGAUUUCAGUGCUUCUGUUACUUAUGGCAGAUUAGUUUAACUUGAUGAGUGUGUUUGCUGACUUUCAUAGUGCCUAGGUUACUAACAUGUUUGCUUUAAUUGGGAUUUUAAUUCAUUUAAUUGGAAAUGAAACAUCAUAACAGUGCCUACCCUUGCAAGAAAUUACCUAAUUUUAUCUACUUUUUUCUAAACAUCUGAAUAAAAAUUCAUAUGCCAAGUUUAUUAAUAAAACUCGUCUCUGUAUUUAUCACUGACCACUGGAUCAUUAUUAGAUAUAGUAUUUAACAUCAGUAUGACUGCUCCAUCCUCAAAGGACGUGGUGUCCAUUACUUAAGUAGUAUGUUCAAAAUGGUAGUGUAUUGUUUACAAAUGUUUGGUCAGCUGCUGUUUUAGACCCAUUUAUACACCAAUUGCCUUAAUGUGCAGUUGAUGUCAUAUUGCAAGAAAAACAGAUUUGUGUUUCAAAAUAUAUUUCUCAGAUGAUGUAUGUAUAAGGUCAAAUUUUUGCUCAUACUUUCACUGAUAAAAGCUUUAAGAUGUUGGCUGAGCUGAGUAAAACAGCUUUUGACCUAUGUACACUGCCAGUAGUAACUUAGCGGUUGUGAGACAUGAAAAUUAAAUGAGUUUAUUGUUAGAAGACUAACAGUAAGCGAAAGAUGAUGGAAAAAAUCAAAGUUGGACAACACAAAGAAAGACAGAAAGAAAGCAGCUGAUAUCAGAUGUACAACAAAGGUCAGUGCCAUAACGGAAAGAGCCGAACAUCUCGAAAUGGCAGUGGGCUGGUCACAUUGCUCAAAGAAAAGAUGGUAGAUGUUCAAAAUGUGUACAAGACUGGGGCCCAAAAUGGACUAAAGGGAAGACUACCAGACAGAUGGAUCCAUUUUGCAACUUGAAGCUGAAGAUCAGCAGAAAUCCAUGGCCGGUGCGUCCUUCGCUAACUUUGUGCCACCUCCGCACUUGCACAAGCCGUUGGCUCCCAUCUGCUGUCCGCGUUUUGUACCUCCUGAAUGCUGCCCGUCUUAUUGCCCAGAGGAGUAUAAACCUGUCUGUGCCACUGACUGCCACCAUCUGCGGACUUUUGCCAACAUUUGUUUCAUGCAUGCUACAAACUGCCUGGAAAAUACAAGAUACCGCAAAGUCUAUGAUGGAAAAUGCCCAAACAGCCACCCAAUGCUCCAGUUCCAUGAUAAAGAAAUUGAGUGGAUGUAAAAAUGAAACUUGUACAAUUU
This is an RNA transcript of Schistocerca gregaria, 3402 nucleotides long. It is a transcript of the gene named vasotab-like, with no coding region annotated. The record is from RefSeq and is a predicted model, not a curated record. The transcript has 3 exons. NCBI's taxonomy places the organism in Eukaryota, Metazoa, Arthropoda, Insecta, Orthoptera, Acrididae.